Long non-coding RNA from Asterias rubens (European starfish), 191 nucleotides. RefSeq lists it as uncharacterized. Lineage: Eukaryota; Metazoa; Echinodermata; Asteroidea; Forcipulatida; Asteriidae. The transcript has 3 exons. The record is from RefSeq and is a predicted model, not a curated record.
CACACCAGAGAUGAUGGCGAUCUGAUUUAAAAUUGUUGAUGAGAACAUGCUGGGUUCUGUUGUUCAGAUAAGAAGAGAACCAGUUAAGGGCAGUUCCAGUAAUUCCAUAGCGUGAAGAUAAACGUUGGAUGAGAUGCUCAUGGUUGAUAGUUUGAAAGCUUCCCUGAAAAUAUUACGUGCUGAGGUGCUGU